GCCACGGUGGUCUAGCGGUCAGAACACUAGCCUUGUAAGCCUGGGGUCCCGGGUUCAAUUCCCGGUGGUGCCC
Zootermopsis nevadensis is the source of this 73-nucleotide non-coding RNA. The record is from Rfam. Lineage: Eukaryota; Metazoa; Arthropoda; Insecta; Blattodea; Termopsidae.